AACGCUGGCGGCGCGCCUAACACAUGCAAGUGAACGGAGCACGUUUUCUGACCUCUUCGGAGUGAUGAGUGACUGAGUGGCGGACGGGUGAGUAACGCGUGGGUAACCUGCCUCGUACAGGGGGACAACAGUUGGAAACGACUGCUAAUACCGCAUAAGCGCACGGUAUCGCAUGAUACAGUGUGAAAAGCUGAGGCGGUACGAGAUGGACCCGCGUUGGAUUAGCUAGUUGGUGGGGUAACGGCCUACCAAGGCGACGAUCCAUAGCCGACCUGAGAGGGUGACCGGCCACAUUGGGACUGAGACACGGCCCAAACUCCUACGGGAGGCAGCAGUGGGGAAUAUUGCACAAUGGGCGAAAGCCUGAUGCAGCGACGCCGCGUGAGCGAUGUAGUAUUUCGGUGUGUAAAGCUCUAUCAGCAGGGAAGAAAAUGACGGUACCUGACUAAGAAGCUCCGGCUAAAUACGUG
Molecule: ribosomal RNA, 470 nt
Filed under: uncultured bacterium
Lineage: Bacteria
Description: bacterial SSU rRNA
Rfam family: Bacterial small subunit ribosomal RNA
Source: RNAcentral